GGGCCUGUAGCUCAGAGGAUUAGAGCACGUGGCUACGAACCACGGUCUCGGGGGUUCCCUCCUCGCCCA
Cucumis sativus (cucumber) is the source of this 69-nucleotide non-coding RNA. Lineage: Eukaryota; Viridiplantae; Streptophyta; Magnoliopsida; Cucurbitales; Cucurbitaceae. The record is from the annotation of a RefSeq genome assembly.